This is a transfer RNA of Felis catus (domestic cat), 73 nucleotides long. It matches the Rfam family "tRNA". Rfam says of the family: Transfer RNA (tRNA) molecules are approximately 80 nucleotides in length. Their secondary structure includes four short double-helical elements and three loops (D, anti-codon, and T loops). Further hydrogen bonds mediate the characteristic L-shaped molecular structure. tRNAs have two regions of fundamental functional importance: the anti-codon, which is responsible for specific mRNA codon recognition, and the 3' end, to which the tRNAs corresponding amino acid is attached (by aminoacyl-tRNA synthetases). tRNAs cope with the degeneracy of the genetic code in two manners: having more than one tRNA (with a specific anti-codon) for a particular amino acid; and 'wobble' base-pairing, i.e. permitting non-standard base-pairing at the 3rd anti-codon position. The record is from Rfam. NCBI's taxonomy places the organism in Eukaryota, Metazoa, Chordata, Mammalia, Carnivora, Felidae.
GCCUGGCUGGCUCAAUCAGAAAAGCGUGAGACUCUUGAUCUCAGGGUUGUGAGUUGGAGCCCCCUGUUAGGUA